Molecule: long non-coding RNA, 2744 nt
Filed under: Gossypium barbadense (sea-island cotton)
Lineage: Eukaryota; Viridiplantae; Streptophyta; Magnoliopsida; Malvales; Malvaceae
Description: long non-coding RNA (GBAR_LNC008953)
Source: RNAcentral
UUUGUACAGUCCUUAUUCUUAAGUUCAAAUCCUUGUGUUAAGUGGGAUUUGUUUUAUUUUUUUGUUGGUUUCAAAAAAGGAUAUUAUUUUAAUUUAUUUAGUUAUGUUUUAAAUUUGUUUUUAUGUUUUAAAUUUUUAUUUUUGAAAACCCUAAAAUAACUCUCACAUUUCCAUUUUUUUUCUUCUCACGUCAGUUUCUUUUCCAAUUUCAGACUUUUGCCUUUUUGGCUACUGUGUUUGCUUUUGAUAUCAUUUUCUUUUUCGAUUCAUUCUUGAAUUCUGUUAGUUUUCCUUUUGUUCCGCUGUGGAUUAUUCGGUUCUAGUAAUCUUGUGUCGUUCCUCUAGUUUUAAUCGGUCUUCAGAAACUUCGCUCAACAACAUGUUGAAUCAAGGGUAGUAUCUGUUUAAUUGAGGCGCAUCAGUUAAUCGCUAGCACGUGAAUCGUCUUUAAGGUGUGUUUCUUGAACUCUUGAAAAUGGGGUGAUUUUUGGGUGUUAAAUUCGUAUUUUGUGGUACAUUUGGGUAAGAUCAAUCAUUUCUGAGUCCUACACCUGUUGCCUUAGAAUAUAAUUUUGUUUGGUUGCUGCUAUAAUUUCUUUUUCCUUCACUUGUGCGAUAUUUGCGCUUAGGAAAGCACGAUGGUGGGUUUUGACUACUUCAAAAUGUUUGCUGAAAUACCCAACAGAUUCUUGUUUUGCUGAUAUUUUCUUCAUCACCUAAAGCCAUUAAUGACCUUCAAUUUCAUCAUGUUUUAUUUACUAUUAAUUUAUUUAUUUGUUUGUUCUUUUAAUUAGUAAAAAGUUGUACAUUACUUUCCAUUGUUUACAUCAAAUUUUGUUGCGUUUUUUAUUUUUAUUUUUAAUUUUACAUCGACUCAGUUUAAUCUUGGCUUGUAGCUAUAGCCAUUAGCCACCCAUGAAGAACAAUGUCUAACAUUUAUUGGACAACCAUUUCAAGGACUCUUGGUAGUGCACGCCUCCCCAUUCCUUUGAAAAAUAAAUGAAUUUGGAAUGUUUAUCAACCUUAAAGAGCUAUUGCAUUACCUAAAUGUAUUGCCUUUGACUAAGAGCUGGAUCGGCGGAUAGAGCAAAAAUCGACCUCAUAUCAGUUAUCUAUAAACUGUACAAGAUUUUUGUAAUAUGCUGCUUACUGAACCCAACUAACACAGCUACCAUGGACCACAGCUUGCGGUUUAGUUUAAAUGAUAUAUUUUUCUUGCAACUUUAACUCUUCGAUAGUAAAUGGACUUGUUUUGAUUUUCGAGUAACCCUACGCUCGUUUAAAUCUCUGUAGGUGUGUCGGGGAUGUUAUUACAGUUCGAGGGAGGUUAGGAAAGAUAUAAUUAUUGUUAAACUUUAGUUGUGAAUAUGAGCUCAUUUGACAUAAUUUUGUACUUUACAAUAGUGUUGGAUGUUGUGAACAUUAGAAAUCUGUGUAUAAUGUUACUUUCGUUGAUGGUUUAACUGUGUUCUAAUAUGUCUGAAUUCGAUUCUGCUAAACUGAACUGCUAGUCAGCAUGAUUAUUGAGUAAGGAAGUUUGAAAAGAAGUUUAUCUGAUUCUGUAAAAUUAGUUGCAUGGUAAUGUCUACAUCUGCAUUUUUUUGGGUUUUGGGAUUUGUUUGAAGGAAGAUUGUGUGGCAGUUAAACUGCAUAUUUAUUUUAGCGGUAUAACCCCAACAUUAAGCAGCAUAUGACCACAUUGGGGUGUGUUCGGUUGGACGGGUCCACUAUAACCCGAUAGUGGCGUGUAGAGGGUGGAAGUGUUUAGAAAAAAACCCUACUUUUGGUGUGUGUCGGUUGGCUGGAGAUUGUGUGUAGAGAUUGGAUAGGCUGAUAUUAGGACUGGUGCAUUUGAUUAUGAGUUGCAUUUGUUCCAUUUUUGAAUAAAUACUCCACAUUUGACUGUUUGACUAUGAAUUGAUUUGGCUUUUGUAUGUUUGAGAAAUUCUAAGUGUAUUUGAUCUGCUUAACUGUGAAGUGUUAUAAUAAUGUGAUAUGUAAGUCUAAUAUGAUCUCUGUUUCUGAGUUGAUUUUUUUUUUUUAGGUAAUAGAAAAUUUUAGUUAACUGUUUGUCUCUGUUUAAUUACAUUUGGUUUAAAUUCACACUGAGCUUUCGAAGUUCACUCCCCUAAUUUCCUCUUUUCAGGUAAAUCUCAAGACUAGGUGUUGGACUUGGCAAAUCGAAGAUCUCGAGACAACAUGUUUUGGUUUGAUUUAAUUAAGUUUUUAUAGGUUAUAAUAAUCUGUUUAAUUUGGACUAUAAAUAAGUUUUAGGAACUUAGGCAUGAAUUUUGAUUUCAUUUAGAUUCAUAAGAUUGCGGGAAUUUGGUUUUGAACGGAAGUUAUGAUUUAUCAUGCAUGGAUUAUAGUUAACCAGUUACUAUUCUCUUUAUAAAGAACACACACACAGUUUAGAGAAAUAACUUAUGGUUUCUGUUUUAAAAAUAAAUGAUAUAUUUUCUAAUGUACCUGAUUUUGAAAUUUCAGUUAACGAUUAGCAAAACUUGAAUUAUCUGUAAACUGAAUAUUAAUAAUUAUUAAAUUGGUUUUAUUUUAAUUCUAAUAACGAUUAAACCCAUGAUUUGCAAAACAUAAGUAAAGAUUUUAUUGGAUUUUGUUAAGCUUAAAAAAAAUGGAUUUCAAAAAGAGAUUUUCGAGAUUUGAUCAGUAUUUUGAUUCGAGACACUUUGGUGAGCAAUGUGACCUCCAGACAAAAAGUAUUCCCUUAAUUUAGAAAAAAGAAG